CAAUAGCGUAUAUUAAAGUUGUUGCAGUUAAAAAGCUCGUAGUCGGACCUCUGGGCGGGUGCGACGGUCCGCCGAAAGGUGAGCACUGUUGCGCGCGCCCAUCCUCCUGAGGACCUGGUGUGCCCUUGAUUGGGUGUGCCUGGGACUCAGGAUCUUUACUUUGAAAAAAUUAGAGUGUUCAAAGCAGGCCUUCGCUUGAAUACAUUAGCAUGGAAUAAUAGAAUAGGACGUUGCGGUUCUAUUUUGUUGGUUUCUAGGACCGCCGUAAUGAUUAAUAGGGACAGUCGGGGGCGUCAGUAUUCAAUCGUCAGAGGUGAAAUUCUUGGAUCGAUUGAAGACUAACUACUGCGAAAGCAUUCGCCAAGGAUGUUUUCAUUA
This 378-nucleotide ribosomal RNA is filed under the name uncultured eukaryote. Its description in RNAcentral is "partial 18S ribosomal RNA". It matches the Rfam family "Eukaryotic small subunit ribosomal RNA", at positions 592 to 975 of the family's 1831-position model. The record is from RNAcentral.